AGUGGCGCAAGGGUGAGUAAGGCGAAGGUAACCAACCCCAUGACUGGGUAUAGCCGUGGGAAACCGCGGGUAAUCCCCAGCGACGUCUCGAGGGGGCAUCCCCUCGAGACCAAAGCUCCGGCGUCAUGGGACGGGCCUUCGUGGUAUUAGCUAGUUGGCGGGGUGACGGCCCACCAAGGCGAUGAUGCCUACCGGGCGUGCGAGCGUGGCCCGGCACACUGGGACUGAGACACUGCCCAGACUCCUACGGGAGGCUGCAGUCGAGAAUCUUCGGCAAUGGGCGCAAGCCUGACCGAGCGACGCCGCGUGGAGGACGAAGGCCUUCGGGUUGUAAACUCCUGUCGAGGGGGAAGAAGGUCCGCAAGGGCUUGACUGAUCCCUGGAGGAAGCACGGGCUAAGUUCGUGCCAGCAGCCGCGGUAAGACGAACCGUGCGAACGUUAUUCGGAAUCACUGGGCUUAAAGCGCGUGUAGGCGGAACGACACGUCGGUCGCUGAAAGCCCCCGGCUCAACCGGGGAACGGGCGCCGAUACGAUCGUUCUCGAGGGACGUAGGGGGACCUGGAACUUCCGGUGGAGCGGUGAAAUGCGUUGAGAUCGGAAGGAACGCCCGUGGCGAAAGCGAGGUCCUGGACGUUUUCUGACGCUGAGACGCGAAAGCCAGGGGAGCGAACGGGAUUAGAUACCCCGGUAGUCCUGGC
This 700-nucleotide ribosomal RNA is filed under the name uncultured bacterium. RNAcentral describes it as "bacterial SSU rRNA". It matches the Rfam family "Bacterial small subunit ribosomal RNA", at positions 94 to 800 of the family's 1533-position model. The record is from RNAcentral.